Molecule: ribosomal RNA, 253 nt
Filed under: uncultured bacterium
Lineage: Bacteria
Description: partial 16S ribosomal RNA
Rfam family: Bacterial small subunit ribosomal RNA
Source: RNAcentral
UACGUAGGUGGCAAGCGUUGUCCGGAAUUAUUGGGCGUAAAGCGCACGUAGGCGGCUUGGCAAGUCGGAUGUGAAAUCCCUCGGCUCAACCAAGGAAGUGCAUCCGAAACUGCCGAGCUUGAGUACUUAAGAGGAUCGCGGAAUUCCCGGUGUAGAGGUGAAAUUCGUAGAUAUCGGGAGGAACAUCAGUGGCGAAGGCGGCGAUCUGGGAAGUUACUGACGCUGAGGUGCGAAAGCGUGGGGAGCAAACAGG